GGCUACGACCCAUUCACGUUGAAAACACCGGUUCUCUGCGAUCACCGAAGUUAAGCAACGUCGAGCCCGUUAGUACUUGAUGGGUGACGCGCCGGAAUACGGGUGUGUAACAA
RNAcentral lists this ribosomal RNA (113 nucleotides) under Mytilus galloprovincialis (Mediterranean mussel). Lineage: Eukaryota; Metazoa; Mollusca; Bivalvia; Mytilida; Mytilidae. The record is from RNAcentral.